AACCUGGUUGAUCUUGCCAGUAGUCAUAUGCUUGUCUCAAAGAUUAAGCCAUGCAAGUGAAAGUAUAUGCACAUUUAUUGCAGAAACUGCGAACGGCUCAUUAAAACAGUUAUAAUCUACUUGACAUUUUAUUAUAAGGAUAACUACGGAAAAGCUGUAGCUAAUACUUGUUAAGUACUUUUACUCCCCGGAGUAAUUGUAUGUAUUUGUUAAGACCCCUAAGAAAAAAUGAUAUUAAAGGAAUUAUAACAAAGAAGCAACACAUAAUAUAAUUAUUCAGUGUGUAUCAAUCGAGUUUCUGACCUAUCAGCUUUUGAUGUUAGGGUAUUGACCUAACAUGGCUUUGACGGGUAACGGGGAAUUAGAGUUCGAUUCCGGAGAGGGAGCCUGAGAAAUAGCUACCACAUCUAAGGAAGGCAGCAGGCGCGUAAAUUACCCAAUUCUAAAUAAGAGAGGUAGUGACAAGAAAUAACAAUAUAAGGCCAAAUUUUGGUUUUAUAAUUGGAAUGAUGGGAAUUUAAAACCUUCCCAAAAAUCAAUUGGAGGGCAAGUCUGGUGCCAGCAGCCGCGGUAAUUCCAGCUCCAAUAGCGUAUAUUAAAAUUGUUGCAGUUAAAACGCUCGUAGUUGAACUUCAAGGGUAUAAUUAUUUUAAGCAACUCACUUGGAAAAAAUCAUGACUUCUGUCACUGCUUUUAUCCUUGUUGCAGUUCUUUUAAUACAGGGCCCUUUGAGAGCCCAUUAAUUUAUGACUGGGUUUCUCGUUACUUUGAGUAAAUUAGAGUGUUUAAAGCAAACAGAUAAAGCGUAUUUUACUGUGUUUGAAUACUAUAGCAUGGAAUAACAACAUUGAAUAGGUCAAAAGUUUUUGAAAAAUUUUUCUUAUUUUGGCUUAGAUACAGUUAAUAGGAGUAGCUUGGGGGCAUUUGUAUUCAGAUGUCAGAGGUGAAAUUCUUAGAUUUUCUGGAGACAAACAACUGCGAAAGCAUUUGCCUAAAAUACUUCCAUUAAUCAAGAACGAAAGUUAAGGGAGUGAAGACGAUCAGAUACCGUCGUAAUCUUAACCAUAAACUAUGCCGACUAAGUGUUGGAUGAAAAUUUAUAAAUAAAACUAUCUUCUUUAAAGGAGUAGUUUUUUAGAUGCUUCCUUCAGUACCUUAUGAGAAAUCAAAGUCUUUGGGUUCUGGGGCGAGUAUUCGCGCAAGCGAGAAAGUUAAAAGAAUUGACGGAAGGGCACCACCAGGC
This 1243-nucleotide ribosomal RNA is filed under the name Plasmodium berghei. RNAcentral's name for it is "SSU rRNA". It matches the Rfam family "Eukaryotic small subunit ribosomal RNA", at positions 1 to 1175 of the family's 1831-position model. The record is from RNAcentral. Lineage: Eukaryota; Apicomplexa; Aconoidasida; Haemosporida; Plasmodiidae.